Chrysochloris asiatica (Cape golden mole) is the source of this 401-nucleotide RNA transcript. It is a transcript of the gene named cytochrome c-like, with no coding region annotated. The transcript is spliced from 3 exons. The record is from RefSeq and is a predicted model, not a curated record. NCBI's taxonomy places the organism in Eukaryota, Metazoa, Chordata, Mammalia, Afrosoricida, Chrysochloridae.
AUGUUGAAGGAUUUUGAUGCAGUUAAUGGGACGCAUAAAUCCCAAAGUGCCUCUGAAGCUGGGGAAGAGAGUGAAAUCAAAUUGGGUGAUGUUGAGAAGGUCAAGAAAAUUUUUGUUCAGCAGUGUGCCCAGUGCCACACUGUGGAAAGGGGAGGCAAACACAAGAUUGGGCCAAAUCUGCCUAGGUUUUUUUGGGCAGAAUACUGGUCAGGCCCCUGGAUUCUCUUAUACAGGUGCCAAUAAGAGCAAAGGCAUCAUCUGGGGAAAGGACACACUGAUGGAGUAUUUGGAGCAUCCCAAGAAGUACAUCCCUGGAACAAAAAUGAUCUUCGCUGGCAUUUAAGACGAAGGCAGAAAGGGCAGACUUGAUAGCUUAUAUCAAGAAAUCUACUAAUGAGUAG